Molecule: ribosomal RNA, 690 nt
Filed under: uncultured bacterium
Lineage: Bacteria
Description: bacterial SSU rRNA
Rfam family: Bacterial small subunit ribosomal RNA
Source: RNAcentral
AGUGGCGUACGGGUGCGUAACGCGUAUGCACCUACCUUCAUCAGGGGGAUAGCCCGAAGAAAUUCGGAUUAACACCGCAUAAAAUAGCAUUAUCAAAUAUUUAUAGGAUGGAGAUGGGCAUGCGUGUCAUUAGCUAGUUGGUAAGGUAACGGCUUACCAAGGCGACGAUGACUAGGGGAUCUGAGAGGAUGACCCCCCACACUGGUACUGAGACACGGACCAGACUCCUACGGGAGGCAGCAGUAAGGAAUAUUGGUCAAUGGAGGCAACUCUGAACCAGCCAUGCCGCGUGCAGGAAGACUGCCUAUGGGUUGUAAACUGCUUUUAUACGGGAAUAAACCUUGGUUCGUGAACCAAGCUGAAUGUACCGUAAGAAUAAGGAUCGGCUAACUCCGUGCCAGCAGCCGCGGUAAUACGGAGGAUCCAAGCGUUAUCCGGAUUUAUUGGGUUUAAAGGGAGCGUAGGCGGCCUAUUAAGUCAGGGGUGAAAGACGGCAGCUUAACUGUCGCAGUGCCUUUGAUACUGAUAGGCUUGAAUGUAGUUGAGGUGGGCGGAAUGUGACAAGUAGCGGUGAAAUGCAUAGAUAUGUCACAGAGCACCGAUUGCGAAGGCAGCUCACUAAGCUAUGAUGACGCUGAGCUCGAAGCGGGGGGAUCAACCAGGAAUAGAUACCCUGGUAGUCCCCGCCUA